AUGGGGUCUUUCGAAGUUGCACAGGCUGGACUCAAAACUGUGAUCCUACUGCCUCCAUUUCUGGAGUAGCUGAGAUUACAGGUGAGCACCACCACACCUGGGUUACGAUUCUUUCUUUACACAUCUCUCUUCCCUUCUAUACUCCUUGAGAAAGAAACACGUCCUAAUCAUGUUUAUUCUAUGAAAUAGGAGGGUUCAGGUAAAUGAGAGAGGAUAAACAGAGUUAAAAUUUUGAGGUUGUUAUAUUUGUGAGGUGAGAAGCCCAGUGUGGUGGCACACACCUGUAAUCCCAGUGGCUCAGGACGCUGAGGCAGGAGGAUCACAUGUUCAAAGCCAGUCUCAGCAACUUAUCAAGACCCUGCCUCAAAAUAAAAAAUUAAAGGUGCUGGGGUUGUGGCUCAGUGGUAGAGUGUUCACCUAGCACACACUGAGACACUGGGUUCAAACCUCAGCACCACAUAAAAAUGAAAUAAAGAUAUUAUGUCCACCUACAACUAAAAAAAAUAAAUAUUUUUAAAAAUUAAAAUUAAAAAUUAAAAAAAGGACUAGGGAUGUGGCUCAGUGGUUAAGCACCCAUGUGUUCAAGCCCUGGAAUCACAGAGACAGAGAAAGAGGGAAUAUGACAUUUUAGCUAUGAAAUCUGAUGUAUGAAGUGCAAAGAGGUAAAAUGACUAAACAGAUUUUGAUAACUUAUGGAUACGUUCUGCUAGCUCUAAGAACCCACUUAAAAAUAUUUUUUUAAUGUGCAGCUAAGAAGAAAAAGGAAACAAAACAGAAUGACAGAAUAUUUUUCUAACACAAAAGAAAUUAGCAAAGAGCAAAAGAAAUAAAAAAAAAUAUACUAAAUAAACAAAAGGAAAACAAAUAGCAAGACAGUGGAUAUAGGCUGGGAAUGUAGCUCAGUGACAGAGUGCUUAUCUAGCAUAUGUGAAGCCCUGGGUUUGAUCCCCAGCGCUGCAAAUAAAUAAAUAAAAAUGCAAAGAUAGGAAAAUUGAGCACAGUCAUGUCAAUGAUUAAAUUUUAAAAUCCUAAAUAAAAUCUAGAGAGUGUUCAACUGGAUAAAAAGCAGAAAUCAAACAUACACUAUUUAUAGGAGAUAAAUGUUAAUUAUGAAGACAAAGUUUGAAAAUAAAAGACAUCAUGGGAAGAGCAUAAGAAAUCAGGAGAAAAUAUAUUCAUAAAACACAAAAUAGGCUUUAAGACAGAGCUUACAAGAGAGACAUUUCGUGAUGAUAAAGUAGGCAAUUAUUUAGGAAAACAUAAGAAUCCUAAAUGCAUAUAUACCUAAUAACAGCUUCAAAAAUCAUAAAGCAAAGCUGAAAAAUAGAGAAAUAGACAUAUUCACAAAUGUACAUCAUAACCAAGUUGUUGACAACCAGAAAAAUCUUAAAAGCAUCAGAAAACCAAUAACAAUAUUAAGUACAGAGAAACAGAAGUAAGGAUAACAAUAGAUUUCUUGCCAGAAGCAAUGCUGCAAAACAAAACAAAACAAAACAAAAAAACAAGGCAGUAGAGUACUAUCUUUAGAGUACCAAAGAGGAAAAAAAAAGUAAAUUUCUACUGGGUAAAACUAUCUUUUGAAAACAAACACAAAAUACUUUACCAGAUAUAUAAAAACUGAAAGAAUUAAUCAUAGCAGAUACACACUACUAGAAACAGUAAAGCAAAUCCAUCUGGCAGAAGGAAAAUUAUAUCAGAUAGAACUAUGUGUCUAUUUUCUCAGAUAAAAGAUAUGUUGAUCCAUAUAUAACAAGACUCCAUAAAUUUGGAAGGAUUUAAGUUAAAUAAAAUAUGACCUCUUAUCACAAUAGAAUUAAAAUAUAAAUCAGUAAUAGAAAGAUCUCUGAAAAAUCCCCCACAUAUUUGAAACUAAAUUAAUAUAUUUCUAAGUAACCGAUGUGAAGAAGAAGAAGAAGAAGAAGAAGAAGAAGAAGAAGAGGAGGAGGAGGAGGAGGAGGAGGAGGAGGGAAAGAAAGCAAGCACAAGGAAAACAGAACACAUUUUGAAGUAAAGGAAAAUGAAGAAACUAGAUAUAAAAUUUCGUGGUUUGCAGCUGAAGCAGCAUUAGAGAAAAAUUUAUAGCAUUAAAACACCUACUUAGAUAAAUGGAAAGGUCUGAAAUGAAAUGCCUCAGCUUCCUCCUUAGAAAGCUAGAAAAAGCAAAAUGAAUAAAAUCCAAAGGAGGGAAAAAAGAAAUAAUAAAGAUCAGAUCAGAAAUCAAUCUUUAACCACAAUAAAACAAAACCCAGAAAACAAAUAAUAAGAGCAAAAAUGAACUUUUUGAGAGCUGGGGACUUAGCUCAGUGGUAGAGCACUUACCUGGCAUAUGUGAGGCCUUGGGUUCCAUUCAUCCCCAGUUGUGGAAAAAAAACCAAAAAAAGAAACUUCCUCAGUUUGAUAAAGGAUAAAGGGCAUUUAUCACAAACCUUCAGAAUACAUGAUUCUUAAUGAAUGACUCAGUGCUUUCCAUCCAAAACACAGAACAAGGCAAGAUGUUCUUUUCUCCCCAUUUCUAUUCAACAUUGUACUGAAGGCUUAAUAAAACCAUAAAAAAGGAGAAAGAAAAGGAAAAAAGAAAAACAUUCUGAUUGAAAGGAUGUAAAAAAAAAUCUUUAUUCACAGGUGACAUAACCACUAUAUUGCAGAAUGCAAAAUCAGUAUACAAAAAAAAAAUUAUUCUAUUUUUAUAUACUGGCAAUGAACAAAAAGAGGUUAAGUUAAAACAACAUCAUCAACAUGAAAAAGGUGAUUGCUUAGGAAUUAAUCUGAUGAAAGAUACACCAGGCCUGUAAACCCAAUAUACCAAAACAUUCCUAGGAGAAACAAAAAACAAAGGGAUAUCCCAUAUUCUUAGAAGUCUCAGAAUUGUUAAUCUUCGAAGACUCAAAAUGGUUAAGAUGUCCAUCCUCCUCAUAUUGGUAUCAUCUGAGAUUUACUGUAUAGGAUCUAUUGUAUACAUCCAAUACAAUCUCAAUCAAAAUCCUAGCAGGAUUUUGUUUUGUACAGCACCAGAGAUUCCACUGAGCCAUAUCUCUAGCCCUUUUUGAGACAAGGCCUUGCUAAGUUGCUUAGGGCUUCAUUAAGUUGCCAAGGCUGGCUUUGAACUUUCGAUCCUCCUGCCUCAGCCUCCUGAGCUGUUGGGAUUACAAGUGUGUGCCACGACGCCAGGCCAAGUAGGAUUUCCUAGAAAUGGAAAAGAUGAUUCUAAAAGUUAUAUAGAAAUACAAAGAACCUAAAAUAACCAAAGCAACUUUGAAAAAUAAAAGCAAUGUUUGGGAAUUCCACUACCUGAUUUCAAGGCUUCUGAUCAAACUACAUACGCUUCUUUAGAUAGUGUGAUAUUUGUGGGAAAAAUAGACAAAUAGAUCAAAAGAACUGGAUAGAGUCUAAAAAAGAGACCCACUCAUACAUGGACAACCAUUUUUGACAAGAGAGCAAAGGCAAUUCAGUUAAGAAAGGAUAGUCUUCUCAAAACUGGCACUCAACAAUUAUAGAUCCAUGAGCCAGAAAUGAAGUUUGAUCCUCAUGAGGCUGAGGCAGGAGGAUCAGCCUCAACAACUUAUUGAGGCCCUAAGCAACUCAGUGGGUUGGGGAUGUGGCUAAGCGGUUAAGCCCCCUGGGUUCAAUCUCCAUAAUGUGAAGAAAGAAAAGGAGACAGAAAGAGAGGGAUGAAGGAAGGAAGGAAGGAAGAAAACAAAUAAUUCUCCCACCUCCAAAUAUAUAUAAGACAUUUGACUUCAUUUGUCAUCAGGGGAAGACAAAUUAAAACCACUAAGAGAUACACUGCACAUCUUUUAAAAGUCUAAAAUCAAAAAGGGUGACCCUAAUAAGUACGGUAGGAUGUGGGGCCAGCAGAAUUCUCAUACACUGCUGGUAGGAAUGUCAAAUAGUGCACUAUGUUGGAGAACCUUUUUUUUUUUUUUCACAAGUUAAAAAUAUGCAUAGCGUAUGACCUAGCCAUUCCACUUCUUAGCAUUUACCUCAGAGAAGUGAAAGCGUAUCUCCACACAGAUUUGUGUUUGAAUGUUUAUAGCACCCUUUUAUUACAAAAACUGGAACCUAAAUGUCCUUCACAGGUGACUAGGUAAAACAAAUUGUGCUCUAUCCAUACUGUGGGCAACUGCUCAGCAAUAAACUGGAGCAAGUUGUUAUAUACACAAUAACAGGGCCCAAAUCUCAAAACAAUUAUAGUGAAAGACACCAACAAAAAUGAAUAUACUGUAUGAUUCCUUUUAUAUAAAAUUCUAGAAAUACAAACCAAUCUAAAGUGACGUAAUAGAUCAGUGGUUUCCCGUGCAUAAAAGGAGUAGGGAGGAAAAAGAAUGAAUAAUUACAAAGGAAUACAGGGAAACUUUUGUGGACAACACAUCUUCACAAUCUUGAUGUGGUGAUAGUUUCAGAGAUGAACACAAAUGUCCAAAUUCGUAAAAUAAACUGGGUAGAGUGGUGCAUACCUGUAAUCCCAGUGCCUCAAGAGGCUAAGGCCGGAGGAUUGCAAGUUUGAGGCCAGCCUGGCAACUGAGUGAAACCCGUGGCAGCGUAGUGAGACCCUGUCUCAAAAUAAACAAUGAAAAGGACUGGGGAUGUGGCUCAGCCGUAAAGCUCCCUUGGCUUCAACCCCCAAAACCCCCCAAAAGUUUUCAUAAAUUAUAACUUUAAUAUGUGCCAUUUAGUGUAUAUGAAUUGCUUUCACUUAAACAUCCAAAAUAAUAAAAACAUACCUAAAAAAAAAUUUUUAAAAACUACUCGGGGCUGGGGCUGGGGCUGUAGCUCAGCGGUAGAGCGCUUGCCUAGCAUGUGUGAGGCACUGGGUUCAAUCCUCAGAACCACAUAAAAAUAAAUAAAGGCCCAUUGACAACUAAGAAAAUAUUAAAAAAAAAAAAAAGCUACUCGGCAUCAGUAUUUUCCUUCAGAAUCUCUUGUAGCAGCUGUCUUCCUAGUGAGCCCUUCCCCUGUGGCACAGAGCCAGGGCGUGGGCAGCAGUAGCCAUGGUCAGCAGUUUAUGUUACCACUCAGUCCAUUAGGGCAGACUCCAGUGCUUUCCAGUCCCCUCCCCGCUGCCUUCCAGCCGAGGAAACCUCCAGCCCUACUUUUGCUCCCCACCCUCAGCCUUCUCAGUGUGUGACUCCAACUGCUUCCUCACCAAGACCUAUCAGUUGUCCCCAAGCAACAGCUGGACAGCCUGCAGUGGCAACUCCCUUCUGCUCCAGGCUCCUCCCUCACCUUCCUGGCUGAAGACAGCACCUCCAGAGUCUUCCCCCAGCCCUCAAAGCCCUAACUCAGCCCCCUCUGUCAGUCACCUCUAGGAAAGGCCCCUGUUGUCAUUUCAAGGAGAUUGAAACAGUUUGGUUCUCACCUAAUCCUUCUGUUGGCACUGCAUGUUUGCUACACAUGCUAACAGCUGGUUGAUAGAGCAGACCCCAGGACAGAAGGAGGAGGGGUGGCGCUAAUGAGUUCUUCCUGGUGCUAUGCUGAUGAGAUGCAGACAAACUAGUGAGUGGGGCCCACCUUUCUCCUGGCCUCCAUGGGUCACCUCCCUGAUCUGCUUAGCUCUGGGCCUGUGGGAUUUGGAGGCUGGGGCAGGGCAGGAAGCCCAGGGAGCAGCAAAUGUGGCAGGACCUGCCUCCCGUCGGUCUCCCUGCAGGACCCAACCUCAGAAAGAGCAUCACCAAGGAAUUGAGUCAAAAGCAGGUCUCGGAGUUCCCCAAGGGCCUCAACAAUUCACAGCCACUUUCUUCUCCCUCCUUUAUUCUUAGUAACUCUUUUCUUUUCAUAAAAGUCAAGUUGAUAUGUAUUGUAGAGCACUCGGAAAAAACAAAAACAAACAAAAAAGAAUCCACUUGCAAUCCCAUCACCCAGAAAGAACCAUUUCGUUUGCUUUUAUUUAUUCCUUACCUUUUUUAUAUAUGUUUUCAAAAGCAAAUAUAGGAUCAUCGUAAAGCAAUGUUUAUUGAGCAAGUGCACUAGGCUAUGCUAAACACCUCACACAAAUUAUCUCAUUUAAAGUUCAUGAUGGCUCUGAGUGAUGAUGCAAUUAUCAUUCCCAUUUUAUAGAGGGAUUAGUUGAGGCUUAAAGAAAUCAAAUACAUUGUUCAAUGUCAUUCAGCAAUUAAAUGGUGGUGCUGGGAUUCUAAUCCAGGACAUCUGACUCCAGAAUGAUCUCACUCUUACUGCUUUGAAAUUGACCAAUUAUCCUAUAAAUAUCUUUCUGAGUUCUUAGCCUUCAGCAUCAUUUUCAGUGACUCUAUAGUACUCUGUUGUUCAGAUGUACCACAAUUUUCCCAAUCCCCCAUCAGUGGACUGAGGUUAUUUACAAUGUCUUCGAUAAUAUAUUCUCCAAUAAGCAUUCUUCUUGUUAAAUAUUUACUCAAAAACUAAGAUGGGAAUCUUUGAAUCAAAACAUAUGUAUAAUUUUAAGGCUUUUGAUACCUAGUGCCAAGAAUGUCCUCCAAAAACAAUGAGCCAAAUUAUACUUCCUACAUCCUCAUCCACACUAGAAAACUAAGUAUUCUUCAGCCAAGUGAUUAGAGGCAGCUCAAGUUCUGCCACAUAAAUAAUGAAAUUUAGAUCAAUUAGGGAUUUGGGGCAACCCAACCUCUUCCAGUAACUACACACACACAUCAGCACGACAGCUAAGCCAGGCACUGAGCGGAACGGAGUCUUGAGCAGACAGUGUGACCAGCUGCCACUUCCCCAAGCUCUCAGCAGCGCCUCUGUGUCCAUCAUUGUCACCGAACAGUCAUUGUCAGUGAUGAAGAAGGAGAAUGUCCCUGAAUACCUUAGCUGCUGAACCCAGGGAGUGGCAGUUUAGAGCAGAGAGAGGACAGAGACCUGGGGCUCAGGACUCAGGACUCUCACCUCAGCCCUGGCUUUCUGGGAGUGGGGGUGGAAUAACAGCCUGGAGUGCCCAUCUGUCCCAGUCCCCUCUGUCCCAGACUAGGACCUGAACUGAUGCCAACUGAUGUAUACUGCACUCCUGUUGUAUGCCAGCCAUAGGCUAAGCAUGUCACUUUCGUUAUCCCACUUAACCCACAAAUCUUUGUAACACUACUUUGGUGUUUGUUUGGCAGAUGGGAAAAAAAUAGACAUGGGAAGCUUAAGUGAUUUGCCCACUUGGACUGGGAGCCAAAGACAGAGCCAGAAUUCCAACCCAGGACAGUCUGGAGGGCACUCACUUCUAACACUGGGCUAUGGGUCCUCUCCUCCCAUCCUUGAGAGUAUGACCAUGUCUGUUUUGUUCCUCACUCUGUUCCCAGCACCUAGCCCAACACCACAAUAAGCAACAUAGAUUGGGCACUUGUCUUAGUGACUUGAAACAGCAUCCACUUUUUAACUCACAGCUCUAUAGUCAGAUGUCCCCACACAGCAUCACAGGGUCUCUGCUCAGGAUGUCACAAGCUGAAAUCAAGGUAUCUGCUGGGCUGUCUUCUCAUGGGGAGCUCAGGGUCCUCUUUCAGAAUCACCCAGAUUACUGGCAGAAUUCAGUUUUCUUCCACAGGAUGACUGGGGCCUGCAAGUUCUUACUAGCUGACAACCAGGGCUCUCUUAGUUCCAAGAGGCUCCCUUCAAGUCUGACCUUGUUGGGGCUGGGGAUGUGUCUCAAGCGGUAGCGCGCUCACCUGGCAUGCGUGCGGCCAGGGUUCGAUCCUCAGCACCACAUACAAACAAAGAUGUUGUGUCUGCCGAAAACUUAAAAAUAAAUAUUAAAAAAAAAAUUCUCUCUCUCUGUCUCUCAAAAAAAAAAAAAAAAAAAGUAAAAAAAGUCUGACCUUGUUGCCCCUCCAUAAGCCUCUCACACUCUCACCCUUGAUCUUUUCCUUCAGGAAGGGUCCAAGGGCUCACCUGACUGGGUUAGGCCCAUCCAGGAUGCUUUCCCUUUUGAGUAACUCAAAUUUAACUACUUAGGGACCUUAACUGUACCCGUGAAAUCCCUCUCAUCCUAUAAGGGAAGCUUAUCACAAGAAGGAUGGCCUAUCAUAGUUACAAAUCCCUCUGACAUUCAAGUCCAAGCCAUGGAUGUCAGGCAUGGGAAUCUCAGGGGCUGUCUUAGAACUCCGUCUACCGUAGCAACUGUGCAGAUAAAGUGAAGGAAGGAAGUGCUCAUCUGUGCAGACGGAGGAGCGGAGUGGCUUCAGUGUGCACUAAUCCUGGGAUAUAGUCUAGAAGUCUGAGUUUGACAGAGCCUAGGAUCACUUCCCUCUUUAAGGGGCAAGCCAUGACACCCGGGCAGGCCCAUGUGGAAGCUGAGGGGAUGACCCAUUCUCUGGAGCUUGGAGCAGGAAUGGGGACCCUGGAGCUCAGGGUCCUCUUUCAGGAUCACCCAGAUUACUUGGAGCAGGAAAGAGGACCCUGGAGACAGAGUUCUGAGCAGGAAGGUGAUCAAGAUCAGAGAGCCCACAAAACUCCUCCAGAUGCUUGAGCAGAACUUAGGUGGAAAUCCAGCCCCACAUCCCUGCUGCUUUCAGGUGGGUAGAGGAAGCCACAUGGAGCAAAUGGGUGGCCUUGGAUGCAGGAGGCACAGUCUGGACUCACUGAUGGGCCGAGGGAACUGCCCUUAGCAGCCCUUCCUCCCAGGCUCUCCUGCUGUGAUGAGAGGUAAGUGCCAGACAGGGGCCUGUGGAGUGUUGGGGACUGGAUGACCCCUGGCCCCUCCCCAAACCAGGCUGCAAUCAAACCCAACUAAGCCCCUCUCGCCUCUCCCUCAGGUGAGCUGGCCCCUUACCUCCCUCCAGCUCCAGUAUCUUCAUUCAAGCAACAAGACCAUCAUGUUCAUCAAGACUGUGGACAAGAUCCAGGCAUGGUGGAGCGUGCCUAUAAUCCUGGCAGCUUGGGAGGCUGAGGCAGGAGGAUAGGGAGUUCAAAAGCCAACCUCAGCCACUCAGCCAGAACCUGUCUCUAAAUAAAAUAUUAAAAAGGGCUGGGGAUGUGGUUCAGUGGUUAAGUACCCCUGGGUUCAAUCCCUGGUACUAAAGAGAGAGAGAGAGAGAGAGAGAGAGAGAUCACAAAGCAGAUUUUAGUUUUGUCUGUUUUAAUAAGGAAAGUCUGGCUCCUCAAAAUACAAUUAUUAUGUCCUCUUUUCAAGGUCCCAGCUUCCUUUUAUAGCGCACUCCACCACCACUGUCCCCUCUGUCUUUCUUCCUCCUCCUCCUCCUCCUCCUCCUCCUCUUCUUCUUCUUCUUCUUCUUCUUCUUCUUUUUGAUAUUUUUUAGAUGUAGAUGGACACAGUACCUUUAUUUUAUUUUUCUGUGGUGCUGAGGAUGGAACCCAGUGCCUUCCACAUGCGAGGUGAGUGCUCUAGACUGAGCUCCAACCCCAGCCCCAUCUCUUUCUUUCUCUGGCACAUAUCAAGCUCUGUGCCCUUUGGAGUUACCUCUGAAGAGCCUUAAAAAAAAGCAACAAAAGUCUCCCUCCUCCCUGUUGGUUCUUCUGAACCUGCUCCCCAGCUUUCUGCUCUCCACUCUGGCCUGUCCCUCUCAGCCUCAGUCCCCUUCUCCCAAGGACUUGCACUCCCCUCCCUUUCUGCACACUGUGCCUGGAUGACCUCACUCAUUCAUCCAGCCUGUCUCCAGGAGCAGGAGCAGAGCUCACCUAGAGGCAGACCUGCCUGUGAACACUUCCACCGGCUGUCCUGAGUCUCACAGGCCCAGAAGGACCCUCUGCAUCCCUUCCCCAAACCAGCAUCUGCCCUAGGUCCCCAUCUCCCAGACACCCUGCCCUCUGCUCAGCCACCUGGCUCUCAAGUGGAGGCCCGUCCCACUCACCUCUCCUCCAGCUAGAGGAUCUAGAGUAACAAAGCGCUAGACAUCCACCACCCAGAUGUCCUUAGCUGCUGUCCCCUUCUUGACACACCCAUUCAUGCCUCACUUCUCUUGCCUAAAAUUUUCCAUAUUUAAUCUCCUAACUAAUUACUAGCCAGGGCACUUGGACUAAGUCACUUUAUCUCCUUGAAUUCCAGUUACUUUCAUGAAAAUCAGAAAUAAUGAUGCUCACUGCAAGGAGUGUGGGAAAGACAGAGAAAUAUGUCACCUGACACCUUGUUCCACCUGUGCUAAACACAUCUGACCUCAGUCCUCCCCACUUCUCAGCCCUAUCUCUGUCCUGUGGUUUAUGCUCUACAGACACAUCUGAUUUCUAAAGUCACAUUUGCCAAACACACCCUGAAAUUUUCUGCUUCCAAAAAUCCAGCAAGAGGUGAUGACUGUCUUUGUGUUUUUGUUUUUUUUUUCAAGUUGGUAUGGUAUAAAAUUAUCUGGUUAUUUUGGUUUAUCUAAGAUAUUCAAAUCAGAAGGAUACCUGAAUUUUUUUAAAUAAUUAUGAUUUCUUAUUUAGAGCUUGUCUCUGGAAGUUUUUAUAAAACAAAGUAGAAAGAUCUCAUUUCUGCCAAGAAUUAUCCUUCCUUUCACUCUGCUUUUGGAAGAUUUGCAAUUCAAAUUGAGGAUAAACCCUAUUUUAACUUAGAAAAACACAUUUCCUCUAGCAAUGACAUAUUUAACACCUCCCCCGCCAAAGUGUUAUAUCUCUGUACUUUAGAUAUGCAACAAUUUAAUAAGAAAAUUCAUUGAUCUCUCCUCCCUUUCUUAUUCUUUCCUAUCAUCUCUGUAAUAAUAGAAAUUUAGAACUGCACAAUCCAAACACACACACACACACACACACACACACAACCUCUCCUUUGUCUUUUUAGAUUACCUUCAAAUCAAUCAAACCCCAGCAAUGACAGAGGCUGCAUUUAAUUCAAAUUAUUUUAGAUGACAUUAGCUUAUGUCUAAAGCCUCAGAGUCAAAAUGAAACAAAAAAUUGAAAUAAAACCCUUAACUUAGUUGAAUUAUCUUGAUAACAGUCCAAAUUUCUGGAUUCCAAGAGAAAUGCUUUCAGAUGGAUACAGAAGAAACAGUACAUUGGUGUUGAUGAGUAGAGAGGACAGUGGCUCUGGGGUGUCAUGCAGACUGUGUGGGCUCUGGAGGCAAACUGCCUGGGCCUCAACCCUGAGCUGAGUAGCUGGUAAUUUAGAGGUUUAGUUUUCUUAUUUGGGGUUGUUGUGAGGAUGAAAUGAAUUAAUUCAUGGAAAGCCGUAAGAACAGAACCUGGCACAUACUAAGUGCUCAGUGAAAAUAGGAGUCAUUAUUAUUCCAGAUAAAAUCAGUAUCCAUUCCAAAUGCUACAAAUCUGGAGACAGAGUAGAACCUUCUACUCAGACAGCCUGGUUGCCAAUUUUGGCUUCAACACUUACUAGCUGUUAUGACUCUAGCCAUAUUACCCAACCAUUUUGUGUUUCCAUGGCUCCAUUUGUAAAAUCAGCAUUCAAAUUUGUAUCUGGUGCAUGCCUGUAGUCCCAGCCACUUGGGAAGCUGAGGUGGGGGAUCACUUGAGUCCAUGACUUCAAGACUAGCCUGGUCAACAUAGCAAGACCCCCACCUAAAAAAAAAAAAAUGACUUGUAUCUGCAUCAUGAAUAUUAUCAUGUAUAUCAAAUCAGACAAUGUGAAAUAACACAGUAAAUGUUCAGCAAAUUUUGGCUAUUUUUCCUAGUGUGCUAAAAAAAUAAAAUAAAAUAAAAAUUUAAUAAACUUAGAACUGCUUUUCCAAAUACAUGAAAGUUUCAAAAAGGUAGGGCUAUAAGAUUUUCCACUUCAGUUACUGAUUGGGGGUCAAAUAGCAUUACCAUAUACCUCCUAGUUGGGAGGCGACUGUCCCCACAUAGUUUUGGCGAUCAUCUUUCCCCUCUUAGGAUAGAGUCAGACAUUCCCUCUCCCAAAACUGGCAGUCCAUGGGCAUAUGACCUUGACUCAGCCAAUCAGAUGUUCAUAACUGGCAACUGGGACAUUUCCUCUGAAAGUGGAAAGAAGGAACAUGGAGAGAGAGGGCAGAGACAGGAAGAAUGGACUGAAAGGGGAGACUGGCAGUCUCCAAAAUGGCACCUCCAUUAUUUUGUCUCUCCUAAAAUUCUUAAUUACAAAAUCAAUGAGCUGAGGGUGAAGCUCAGUGGAAGAGCACUUGUCUAUCAUGAGUAAGGCCCUGGGUUCCAUCCCCAGCACCAAAACCAAAAACAAAUUCCUAAACUGUGCACCAGUGGCACACGCCUAUAAUCCCAGCAGCUCAUAAGCAGAAGCAGGAGGAUUCCAAGUUCAAAGCCAGCCUCAACAACUUAGUGGGACCCUAAGGAACCCAGUGAGACCCUGUCUCUAAAUAAAAUAUAUAAAAGGGCUGAAGAUGUGGCUCAGUGGUUAAGGCUCCUAGUACCUUAACCACAAAAAAUGCCUUGCAGGGGGCUGGGUUUGUGGCUUAGAGGUAGAGCGCUCACCUAGCGCAUGCGAGGCCCUGAGUUCGAUCCUCAGCACCACAUAAAAAUAAACAAAAACAAAGAUAUUGUGUCCAACUACAAUUUUUAAAAAUACAUUAAAAAAUGCCUUGCAACCAGAAACAGCAUCCAUAAAUCCAUAAAUGUAUUUGGGAAGUGUAAAUAAUCUCCUUGGGAAGUAUCCUUAUCAAUUCUGCCCCCCCACCCAGUUAACUAAGUCCUUCUGCAACUUCUCCCUAUGAAACAGUCUGUCAUAGCCAUUCCUCAAGGUCAACAGAAUCCAUUGUACUUACUCCAUUAUGGCUCCAUAACUUUCCAUAAAAUAAUUGCACCACUAUUUUUUCAAACACUCCUCUUUGAACGGGUACCUGUUUAGAUGACCAGCACAAUUUUAAAUGCACAUUCUCAGCAAUGCAACAACCUCACUUUCAGGAAUCAAACCUACAGAAAGCAAGCACUCGUUCAUACACAAGGUUAUACAUACAAGGAUAUUUACUGCACACUGCUUAGAGUGUCAGAUACUGGAAAUAACCUAAAUGCCCAGCAGUCUCCCCUUAUCUAUGUUGUUUAUGACAUUUUUGUUUGAGAAGGGGGAAAAUUUCAACUGUAAAAAGUGUUAUAUGAAAACCACUACUAAAACCCAGGUGAGAACUGGGACUUUUAGGUUCCUUCCAACAAUGAAAUUUUAGAUGUCUUUACUUUGGGGGAUGGAGGGAGGCAGGAAGAAAGAAAGAAAAAAAAAAGAUGUAUAUGUCAAGGUCAAAUUACCACAGCACAAGUGGUUCAUUUUUAAAUCUAUUUUACCCACAAAGUCAGCAAAUUUGAAGCCUCAGAGAUUCCCAAAUCCAGGUUUUGCUUCCAUCCAGAGAGCCUCAAACCUUAACAUGCAUCAGAGUCACCUGGCACUCUUGUUUAACUGCAGAUUGACUCAUUAGAUCUGGGGUGGGGCCUGAGAUGUUGCAUAUCUGACAGGCAACCAGGUAACCCAGAUGUUGCUGGUCUAUGGAGUACAUUUGUGGAAGUAACUGGAUUGACUCACAUCUGCUUGCUGUCUGAAUUAAAUCCUAGAACUAUCCAAGUUUUGGAACUGAAAGUCCUGAGUCUCAGGAAAGACUUGCAUCCCAGACAAACCAGGAUAGUUUGUCACUCUGGCAAUUGGAUUAUCUAACGUCAAAUGACUCAGAGUUCUGAAAAGUAAUAUAAAUGAAUGAAGUUGGCUGGUUGGAAACUUUGGCAAACAGAAAAGUUUAAACAUCCAUGUACUCAAGCUCUUCCCAAGGGUUUCCAAUUUGCAACCUUGGCCUACAUGAUCCCUUAGACUCUAAUCAGCUGAGAAAUGCUACACUAUGUUUUUCCUUGAUGUCAGCUGUAAAUGUCUGUGGGCAAUGGGUCACAGUGAAAAUAUCAGAAUGAAGGAUUGCCCAGAAACAGACAACAUAGGGGGAUAAUCUACUCAAACACACUGUGGAAAGCCAACCUCUAAAUGCUCCCCCCACCGAGUGAUAUAGCUAACCUCUGUAAUCAAUAAUAUAUUGUGGAUAUGAUGAAGUGUGACUUCCAAGGCUAGACAUAAAAGACACUGGGGCCUCUGUCUUGCUCCUUUCUUUGGAUCACUUGAUCUGGGUGAAGACAGCUGCCAUGCCAUGGGAAUCCCCAAGCAACCCUGUGGAGGAAAUCACAUAACAAGGUACUGAGGCCUCCUGCCAACAGCCAUGUGAAUAUGCCAUCUUGGAAGCAGAUCUCCCAGCCCCAAUCAAGCCUUCAGACUGACUCUAUUUUCAGCCAACAUCAUAACUACAACCACCCAGCUAACCCACUCCUGAUUGAGCCCUCUAAAAACUCCCCUAAGAUCAAAGAUGCAAGUUCCAAACUGGCAGCCAGCAAAGCUACAAACAAGUUUUCUUUUCCAUGUACACUUUUUAAAAAUAUAAAUUGGCCACCAAUAUCUAGAAAAGAUAUUCCUAUGUAAAUCUUGAGGCCCAGCAUCUCCUAAAAUAAUUGCAAGAGCUUCAAACCAAGGUCUUCAUUCCUACAGGUCAAAGAUAGGUCAGGGCUAAGCCACUCUAAGGGGUACCUGUGAUGCCCAUGUCAGCACACCCAUCACCUGGUUCAAGUUACAUUACAUUACAUUACCCUCACAUUACCUACCAAUCCCCUUAAGUCUGUGAUCCUUGACCUACAGAUCAAAAAAACUUUUUUAUCAGUGGUACUCUGGCCUCUGGACUAGCAGCAUCAGCGUCACCCAGAAACUUGUUAGAAAUGAAAUUUCUAGGAUCAACCCAGAAAGUCU
Molecule: long non-coding RNA, 14584 nt
Filed under: Marmota monax (woodchuck)
Lineage: Eukaryota; Metazoa; Chordata; Mammalia; Rodentia; Sciuridae
Rfam family: tRNA (bases 12268-12336)
Source: RNAcentral